UUCCGGAGCUUGCUCCGGAACUUAGUGGCGGACGGGUGAGUAACACGUGGGAAUCUACCCAGCAGUGCGGAAUAACUACUGGAAACGGUGGCUAAUACCGCAUACGCCCUUCGGGGGAAAGUUUUUUCGCUGUUGGAUGAGCCCGCGCUCGAUUAGCUUGUUGGUGAGGUAAAAGCUCACCAAGGCGACGAUCUUUAGCUGGUCUGAGAGGAUGAUCAGCCACACUGGGACUGAGACACGGCCCAGACUCC
This 251-nucleotide ribosomal RNA is filed under the name uncultured bacterium. RNAcentral describes it as "partial 16S ribosomal RNA". It matches the Rfam family "Bacterial small subunit ribosomal RNA", at positions 71 to 339 of the family's 1533-position model. The record is from RNAcentral.